AAUGUUCUAUAUCUAAACCGACGACCAGGUGGAACUGUUACUGACAGGUAUGUAAGCCUACCUAACCGGUAAAACUGACUGACAUGCGUCGUCGUUUCCAAAGGUCUACGUUUGUGCCCGUCCAGACUGCAAAGCCACCCCGGAGAUUUCAAACCAAAACAGGGGCAGCAGUGUUUCCAAUGUCUCCAUUUCAGGGGCUCGGAAAUGCCAGAGUAUUGUGUACUUGAGGCGUAAACUUAGCAAAAGAUAUUAGUUUUAUAACCACAACGUUGUAGUGCAGAUGUAGAAUAAGCAGCAACAAGAGACACUGUUCUGUAAGUAAGAGUCAAGGACACCCAAUUACUUGAUAAAAUAUAUGAAAUGUCUAAUUCGAUAACCAAUCUGCUGUAAGUCCCCGCGGUCAGUACUUUGCACUAAUUAGCAUUUUAAUGAUUCAGCAACCAACCCAUUUGAAACUGAAACGACCU
Molecule: long non-coding RNA, 467 nt
Organism: Etheostoma spectabile (orangethroat darter)
Lineage: Eukaryota; Metazoa; Chordata; Actinopteri; Perciformes; Percidae
Exons: 3
Source: RefSeq, a predicted model, not a curated record